UUACGGAAAAACCUAAAAUCUCUAAUCAUUGUACAUCCUUCUUGGUUUAUCAGAACACUUCUGGCUGUUACAAGACCAUUUAUUAGCUCGAAAUUCAGCCAAAAAAUUAGAUACGUCUUUAAUUUGGCAGAACUAGCAGAACUUGUCCCCAUGGAAUAUGUUGGCAUACCAGAAUGCAUAAAACAAGUUGAUCAAGAGCUUAAUGGAAAACAAGAUGAACCGAAAAGCGAACAGUAAGUUUGGCAUCUAGUCCGAACAAGACUGAAGAAUAUGCUGAUGAAGCAAUGCUCUUUUUUGCAUUUAUAAUGCACUUACUGGCCUAUAUUUUUAUGUUACAAAAUUGACUUGACUCUUUCUUAAUGGAUUUUUGUACAAGGGACUGUUCACUGCUGUAUUGGUUUGCAGAUCUCUUGAAUUUAGCUCUUUAAUUGCUAACCAUAUCAUAAUCAUUUUAUAUUUUAUAUUGCUAAAUAGCAGAGAACCACACUUUAUAUAAAGCAUUUUUUGCAUUUGUUUAUUGAAUGAUGCAUCUUCUUCAGUAAAAUAUUUAUAAGCAUAGAUGGUAAAGGAAAAGAAAUAAUAUAUAUUUUUAUGUUUUUGAGCAAUAUUUUUUAAUGUGUACCUGUCUUGUGGAAGAAUGUGCAGGUAACUGAGACCAUGAUUUUGUAAAGUGCAUGUUAGAAUUUUUGUUUUUGUAAAUGGUUAAAUACAUUUCCUGGGUAACUUAGAAAAUUAAGUUGCUCAUAAAGCGAGGAACAGUUACGUUAAACUGAUUCUCAUGAAUACCCAAAGAUCAUGUACAUAAUCUAAGUAGAUUAGUACUAUCCCAAGUUUUUUCCUCUCUUUAACAUUUAUUGUUCCUUAAUUCAGAAGCACAAAUGGAAGUGCAUUGCACAGUUUUUCCUUUUUAAACUUAAAGACAAGUCAAAAAGCCAUUUUUAGAACUAGAGAAUUUAAAAGGCGAGGAAUUAGGGUUUGUAUAUAUAUAUAUGGAUGGAUCAUUUUAUCUUCUGGCCCGAAGUCAGAACUUUAUAAAAAUCUUGGAUUUGUUCACUAAUGUGAAAUAAGCUGUGUGUCCAGGGUAUUGGUCCCCUGAAUGUGUGAGUGCUAUGUAUUAUUACAGAGAAUGUGAUGAGUUAUUCACUGUCAUGACUUUUUCUGUAAAAAACAGGCUGCUUUUUAAACCGCUCUCACUGUGGGCACUUUACCAAAAUACUUCCAUAGUAGUUUGACCUAGUCCAAUAUGAUGUGUUUUCAAGUUUCUGUUGAGUCCUGUUUGACAAUAUUGUAAAUUAGGUUAAUUUUUGUAAGUCUUACAGCAUCAUUAUAUAGUGCUGUUUUGGAUGACACAUUUGAUGUAAGUAUAUAAACUUGUUUCAUUUGGUCAGUUUCUUUACACUGAAAUAAAUUGUACUUAAGCCUCCAAACAGAGCUUAAUUAUCCACAAAAUCAUUCUAAAACAGCAGAUUAUAAUGUGUCAUACUUGAUUGACUCAUAUACAUUUACUAAACUUAAUACCCUUCAGAUUUGAAGUUCACAUUAUUCUCCAGCCCUUCCUGUAAGGUAUUUUACAAAAGAGUAGUCUAGAGUAGCAAAAUUGAAGUGGAUGUGAACUUUUAAGAUGUAUUCUAUCCUAGAUUGAACAUACCCAUGGCGUUUACCAUUGCUAUUUUUUACUGUAAAGUUUCUGUUACAAAAGGGAAUUUUCCUUUACUUUUUGUCCUUCUCAGUCAUAAAUUUGGUGUACUAACGUAAAUACAUUAGAGGAGACGCUGGAGAAUUAUCAGAAUGAGACAUUCCUCAGCAGCCUCCUGACAUUUAACUUGGAUCCAGCAGUUUUAGGCAGAUCCUGAACUAAUAUCAUUAUAGUGAACUUAGCCAAAAGCAUUAUUACUUGCUCACAUCUUAGAAACACUGUGUUAAAGAUGCAAACUAACAAUAACAACUUAGGCAUUCCUUCUGAAUUUACUAUAUAGGGAUUAUGAAUAAAAGAUCAUGUUGAAUUUAAUUGUGAUUAGAUCCUCUAUUUGUAGAAUAUUUUAAGUAGUCUUUUAUCUGUAUGUCUUUAUUUUGCUCAAAAUGGGCUGAGCUUUUUAAUAGGUGGUUUUUCCAUCACAUUAAGUUCUCGGUUCUUUGGUUUGAAAAAUACAAAGAAUGAUUUCAA
This is a long non-coding RNA of Galeopterus variegatus (Sunda flying lemur), 2164 nucleotides long. RefSeq lists it as uncharacterized. NCBI's taxonomy places the organism in Eukaryota, Metazoa, Chordata, Mammalia, Dermoptera, Cynocephalidae. The record is from RefSeq and is a predicted model, not a curated record. The transcript is spliced from 3 exons.